This 356-nucleotide ribosomal RNA is filed under the name uncultured bacterium. Its description in RNAcentral is "partial 16S ribosomal RNA". It matches the Rfam family "Bacterial small subunit ribosomal RNA", at positions 338 to 692 of the family's 1533-position model. The record is from RNAcentral.
CCUACGGGUGGCAGCAGUGAGGAAUAUUGGUCAAUGGGAGAGAGCCUGAACCAGCCAAGCCGCGUGAGGGAAGACGGCCCAAUGGGUUGUAAACCGCUUUUGUCGGAGAACAAAACCGGGGACGUGUACAGGACUGCGUGUAGCCGAAGAAAAAGCAUCGGCUAACUCCGUGCCAGCAGCCGCGGUAAUACGGAGGAUGCGAGCGUUAUCCGGAUUUAUUGGGUUUAAAGGGUGCGUAGGCGGUCCGUUAAGUCAGCGGUAAAAUCGCGGGGCUCACCCCCGUCGAGCCGUUGAAACUGGCGGCCUGGCGUUGGCUAGACGUACGCGGAAUGCGCGGUGUAGCGGUGAAAUGCUUA